Canis lupus familiaris (dog) is the source of this 698-nucleotide long non-coding RNA. RefSeq lists it as uncharacterized. The record is from RefSeq and is a predicted model, not a curated record. The transcript is spliced from 2 exons. NCBI's taxonomy places the organism in Eukaryota, Metazoa, Chordata, Mammalia, Carnivora, Canidae.
CAAUAUUGAACAAAGGGGCCAAAGUUCUCAUCCUCAAAAGGCUUACACUCUAGCAUGGGAGUCAGAUAAUUUUGAAAAAUUCAGCAGCACAAGACAUCAAACGUUAGUAAGUCCUAAGUGCCAAGGAGAGAUGAUACGCAGAGAGGAGAGAUAAGAAAUGUUGGAGACAAUUCCAAGGAGGAGCAGAGGCUCCAAGGGAGCACGAUGCGGCAGGGAAGUGCCAGGAGGACAAGUGGAUAGAGUUGAGGGUAGAGGCACCCACACCGGACAGAGCCAUCAGGUCUACCGUGGGGACUCGGGCUUUCACUCUGGGGGCAAUGAGGAGCCCUGGAGGCUUCAAGAAAGGGGGUGUGGUGACUCCCUGGUCACAGUCACAGCAGGAUCAUUCACUUUGCCAAGAACAGAUUAAGGGGGAAGCAAACAAGUGGGAACAGACACCACCAGUCAGGAACCCUCUGAUGUUCCCAGGAGGGAGAUGAUAAUGCCGGCACAGGUGCACCAGUGGCCAUACGAGUCUGCGGUAGAGGCUGCAAGAUUCACUGACAGAUCACAUCUGGGACGUCAGAGGAAAAGAAGGGGUCAAAAAUGAGCCCACGCAACUGAUUCGGCCAACUUUAUUUGUAAAACAAGGAAAUAAAAGCUCACUUCUCUUUAAAAAAAAAAAAAAAAGAGCCCAAGAUUUCUGGCCUAAGCACCUA